GGAGAAAGGUCCUUGACACCUGCUGGGUUAAUGGAGAUGGUCUCUCUGCUGCAGGAAAUUACUCUGCUAUCUGAAUUCUGCAGAUGCUGGAAAUUCAAGCAACACACAUCAAAGUUGCUGGUGAACGCAGCAGGCCAGGCAGCAUCUCUAGGAAGAGGUACAGUCGACGUUUCAGGCCGAGACCCUUCGUCAGGACUAACUGAAGGAAGAUGGAAGGAGAUGUCUAUGAUCGAUUGUUACAGAUAUGCACGUUCGAAGUGCAAGACUGCAUGCCAAGCGUGACUCUGAAGAUUGGUGCAACAACUACAUCCCACGUUUUGUCAAUGAGCAUCUGGAACGUGUGUAAUAACUCUUUGGACUGUGUAGUCGAGACAUACUGUAUAUGUAAAGGAAAAGAUUAUGUCAUGCUAGUAAAAUGGUAAACCUGCAAAUGAAAUAUUU
Molecule: long non-coding RNA, 441 nt
Organism: Mobula hypostoma (lesser devil ray)
Lineage: Eukaryota; Metazoa; Chordata; Chondrichthyes; Myliobatiformes; Myliobatidae
Exons: 3
Source: RefSeq, a predicted model, not a curated record